This 28-nucleotide small RNA is filed under the name Bombyx mori (domestic silkworm). RNAcentral's name for it is "ovarian small RNA-10986". The record is from RNAcentral. Lineage: Eukaryota; Metazoa; Arthropoda; Insecta; Lepidoptera; Bombycidae.
ACACAGAACCUACGAAGCGAUUGUACGA